CCUGACCCCAUGCCGAACUCAGAAGUGAAACGCCGUAGCGCCGAUGGUAGUGUGGGGUCUCCCCAUGUGAGUGUAAGGCCCUGCCAGGC
This 89-nucleotide ribosomal RNA is filed under the name Klebsiella pneumoniae. The record is from RNAcentral. Lineage: Bacteria; Pseudomonadati; Pseudomonadota; Gammaproteobacteria; Enterobacterales; Enterobacteriaceae.